CAACUGCUCUCGGGAACAGUACAUUCUGAAGAAGAGCGUCGUAUGGCGUGCUGUAGAAACAUGCCUUUCGUAUUCGUCUGUCACUAAGAAGUGAUGAUGGGGACAUCGAAAAGGCUGUUUUAUACAAUUUUGCACAAUUGUCUUUGGAGGCGAUCAUAUUGAUUUUUUAAAGCCUAAAGCAGAACGUGUCCAUCUUUUUCCAUUUCCAAAAAGGGAUCGCGAGAAUCAAGUUCAUUUUCUUUUGGAGCUAUAGUUUUUGAGCUACAUCUGCAAUUCUAUCAUGACAAAAUUUUUUCCAUCCGCUGUUUAUUGCAGUGCAGACAACAGGUUAUUACUAAGUUCUGUGUGAUCAGAUAAAAUCUUGAAAGGAAAGUAAAUCAUAUAGAAAACAUAA
This is a long non-coding RNA of Daphnia carinata, 394 nucleotides long. RefSeq lists it as uncharacterized. Lineage: Eukaryota; Metazoa; Arthropoda; Branchiopoda; Diplostraca; Daphniidae. The transcript is spliced from 3 exons. The record is from RefSeq and is a predicted model, not a curated record.